RNAcentral lists this ribosomal RNA (119 nucleotides) under Procavia capensis (Cape rock hyrax). The record is from RNAcentral. Lineage: Eukaryota; Metazoa; Chordata; Mammalia; Hyracoidea; Procaviidae.
GUCUAAGGCUUUACUGCUCUGAACAAGCUUGGUCUUUUCUGAUAUGUGAAACUCAGCAAGAUCAGGACUGGUUAGAACUUGAGUAGGAGACCAUCUGGGAAGGCCAGGUGCUGUGGCAG